RNAcentral lists this ribosomal RNA (444 nucleotides) under uncultured bacterium. RNAcentral's name for it is "bacterial SSU rRNA". It matches the Rfam family "Bacterial small subunit ribosomal RNA", at positions 540 to 982 of the family's 1533-position model. The record is from RNAcentral.
GUUGUUCGGAAUUAUUGGGCGUAAAGCGGGUGUAGGUGGCUCUAUAAGUCAGGAGUGAAAUCCCCGAGCUUAACUUGGGAAGUGCUUUUGGUACUGCAGAGCUUGAAUGUGGGAGAGGGUAGUAGAAUUCCAGGUGUAGUGGUGAAAUACGUAGAUAUCUGGAGGAAUACCGGUGGCGAAGGCGGCUACCUGGCCCAACAUUGACACUGAGACCCGAAAGCGUGGGGAUCAAACAGGAUUAGAUACCCUGGUAGUCCACGCCGUAAACGAUGGAUACUUGUUGUUGGAGGUAUUGACCCCUUCAGUGACGAAGCUAACGCGUUAAGUAUCCCGCCUGGGGAGUACGGCCGCAAGGUUAAAACUCAAAGAAAUUGACGGGGGCCCGCACAAGCGGUGGAGCAUGUGGUUCAAUUCGAUGCAACGCGCAGAACCUUACCUAGAUAU